Trematomus bernacchii (emerald rockcod) is the source of this 393-nucleotide non-coding RNA. The record is from the annotation of a RefSeq genome assembly. NCBI's taxonomy places the organism in Eukaryota, Metazoa, Chordata, Actinopteri, Perciformes, Nototheniidae.
GGACAGAGGACAGAGGACACACAGUUUAACAUGAUGGACUAUAGGACAGGACUGCUGCUGCUCACUGUCUGCUGGGCAGGUGUUGAUGGUCAGACUCUGACAGAAUCUGAACCAGUGACUAAAAGGCCUGGAGAAUCUCACAGAUUGACCUGUACAGCCUCUGGAUUCACAUUCAGUAGCUCCUACAUGGCCUGGGUCAGACAGGCUCCUGGGAAAGGACUGGAGUGGAUCGCUUAUAUCUACACUGAUGGUAGCAACCAGUUCUACUCUGAGUCAGUGAAAGGCCGGUUCACCAUCUCCAGAGACAACAACAGACAGCAGCUGUAUCUGCAGAUGAACAGUCUGACGGCUGUAGACUCUGCUGUUUAUUACUGUGCUCGAGACGCACAGUGA